Molecule: ribosomal RNA, 465 nt
Filed under: Vreelandella stevensii
Lineage: Bacteria; Pseudomonadati; Pseudomonadota; Gammaproteobacteria; Oceanospirillales; Halomonadaceae
Description: partial 16S ribosomal RNA
Rfam family: Bacterial small subunit ribosomal RNA
Source: RNAcentral
CCUACGGGAGGCAGCAGUGGGGAAUAUUGGACAAUGGGCGAAAGCCUGAUCCAGCCAUGCCGCGUGUGUGAAGAAGGCCUUCGGGUUGUAAAGCACUUUCAGUGGGGAAGAAAGCCUUGGGGCUAAUACCCUCGAGGAAGGACAUCACCCACAGAAGAAGCACCGGCUAACUCCGUGCCAGCAGCCGCGGUAAUACGGAGGGUGCGAGCGUUAAUCGGAAUUACUGGGCGUAAAGCGCGCGUAGGCGGUCUGAUAAGCCGGUUGUGAAAGCCCCGGGCUCAACCUGGGAACGGCAUCCGGAACUGUCAGGCUAGAGUGCAGGAGAGGAAGGUAGAAUUCCCGGUGUAGCGGUGAAAUGCGUAGAGAGCGGGAGGAAUACCAGUGGCGAAGGCGGCCUUCUGGACUGACACUGACGCUGAGGUGCGAAAGCGUGGGUAGCAAACAGGAUUAGAUACCCCAGUAGUC